CCUACGGGAGGCAGCAGUGAGGAAUAUUGGUCAAUGGGCGAGAGCCUGAACCAGCCAAGUCGCGUGAAGGAUGACGGCCCUACGGGUUGUAAACUUCUUUUGUCAGGGAGCAAUUGGGUCCACGCGUGGGCUUAGCGAGAGUACCUGAAGAAAAAGCAUCGGCUAACUCCUUGCCAGCCGCCGCGGUAAUACGGAGGAUGCGGGCGUUAGCCGGAUUUAUUGGGUUAAAAGGGGGCUGUGGCGGAAGAUCAAUUCAGUGGUAAAAAUUCGGGGCGCAACCCCGUCGUGCCGUUGAAACUGAUGAUCUGGAGUGGGCGAGAAGUAUGCGGAAUGCGUGGUGUAGCGGUGAAAUGCAUAGAUAUCACGAAGAACUCCGAUUGCGAAGGCAGCAUACCGGCGCCCAACUGACGCUGAAGCACGAAAGCGUGGGUAUCGAACAGGAUUAGAUACCCUUGUAGUC
This 460-nucleotide ribosomal RNA is filed under the name uncultured bacterium. Its description in RNAcentral is "partial 16S ribosomal RNA". It matches the Rfam family "Bacterial small subunit ribosomal RNA", at positions 338 to 795 of the family's 1533-position model. The record is from RNAcentral.